UGUUGGUUCUCCCGUAACGUUACUCUGUUUACCAGGUCAGGUCCGGAAGGAAGCAGCCAAGGCAGAUGACGCGUGUGCCGGGAUGUAGCUGGCAGGG
This 97-nucleotide signal recognition particle RNA is filed under the name Salmonella enterica. Its description in RNAcentral is "signal recognition particle sRNA small type". It matches the Rfam family "Bacterial small signal recognition particle RNA". Rfam says of the family: The signal recognition particle (SRP) is a universally conserved ribonucleoprotein involved in the co-translational targeting of proteins to membranes. Archaeal SRP consists of a 7S RNA and homologues of the eukaryotic SRP19 and SRP54 proteins. In most bacteria, the SRP consists of a 4.5S RNA and the Ffh protein (a homologue of the eukaryotic SRP54 protein). Lineage: Bacteria; Pseudomonadati; Pseudomonadota; Gammaproteobacteria; Enterobacterales; Enterobacteriaceae. The record is from RNAcentral.